Molecule: ribosomal RNA, 460 nt
Filed under: uncultured bacterium
Lineage: Bacteria
Description: partial 16S ribosomal RNA
Rfam family: Bacterial small subunit ribosomal RNA
Source: RNAcentral
CCUACGGGUGGCAGCAGUGAGGAAUAUUGGUCAAUGGGCGCGAGCCUGAACCAGCCAAGCCGCGUGAAGGAUGACUGCCCUACGGGUUGUAAACUUCUUUUGUAAAGGAAUACAGUUAGGCACGUGUUCCUCUUUGUAUGUACUUUAUGAAUAAGGAUCGGCUAACUCCGUGCCAGCAGCCGCGGUAAUACGGAGGAUCCGAGCGUUAUCCGGAUUUAUUGGGUUUAAAGGGAGCGUAGGUGGGUUGUUAAGUCAGUUGUGAAAGUUUGGGGCUCAACCGUAAAAUUGCCAUUGAUACUGGCAGUCUUGAGUACAGUUGAGGUAGGCGGAAUGCGUGGUGUAGCGGUGAAAUGCUUAGAUAUCACGAAGAACUCCGAUUGCGAAGGCAGCUUACUAAACUGCCACUGACAUUGAUGCUCGAAAGUGUGGGUAUCAAACAGGAUUAGAUACCCCAGUAGUC